UGGGAUGUAGCUCAGUUUGGUAGAGCGCGUGUUUUGGGUGCACGAGGUCGCGUGUUCGAGUCACGUCAUCCCAA
RNAcentral lists this transfer RNA (74 nucleotides) under Caudoviricetes sp. Its description in RNAcentral is "tRNA-Pro". It matches the Rfam family "tRNA". From Rfam's summary of the family: Transfer RNA (tRNA) molecules are approximately 80 nucleotides in length. Their secondary structure includes four short double-helical elements and three loops (D, anti-codon, and T loops). Further hydrogen bonds mediate the characteristic L-shaped molecular structure. tRNAs have two regions of fundamental functional importance: the anti-codon, which is responsible for specific mRNA codon recognition, and the 3' end, to which the tRNAs corresponding amino acid is attached (by aminoacyl-tRNA synthetases). tRNAs cope with the degeneracy of the genetic code in two manners: having more than one tRNA (with a specific anti-codon) for a particular amino acid; and 'wobble' base-pairing, i.e. permitting non-standard base-pairing at the 3rd anti-codon position. Lineage: Duplodnaviria; Heunggongvirae; Uroviricota; Caudoviricetes. The record is from RNAcentral.